Long non-coding RNA from Sceloporus undulatus (fence lizard), 602 nucleotides. RefSeq lists it as uncharacterized. The record is from RefSeq and is a predicted model, not a curated record. Lineage: Eukaryota; Metazoa; Chordata; Lepidosauria; Squamata; Phrynosomatidae. The transcript is spliced from 3 exons.
UCCAAUGAUGAACUGUUUAAAAUGCUGACACAUCUAAUUGCCACUAGAGCUGUACAUAACUUGCACAACAGCUCCACCUAGUGGCCAGAUCCAUGUCAUUUCCUAACAAUUUUUCCUCUGAGAUAUAUAGCUUUUAUCAAUCUUGGGUGUCUUUUAGCUCACCAAAAUAAUUUGUUCAAUUCCACCAUCCAGGGUAUUGUUCUCGUUCCUUCUUGGUGACUUAUUACCUGUAUGUGGGCAAAAUGAAUAAUGACCUGACCGCCAGUGUUGAGCCUUCCUCCCUAAAAAGCUUCCAGAAUAUUCCAUUUUUUUUCUGGGGGGAAAGCCCUCCUUUCCAUGACUUCAACGUUUCUGAAAAUUUUACAUCUCUUUUCACACUGACUUCUAUCAACUGGUGCCCACCUGGACCUGGUGGCACAUACUCAGUUCGAUGCAUGACUGCACAAGUACUUUCAGUUGAGUGCUGAAAGGCAAUGCAUAUAGAUCUUUUGCAUGUCAUCAAUCUGAUUGUGACAUCAGUGAUACAAAGCAGCAAGAAGACCGCAUGAGCAGCAUCACAGAAGUCUUGAAAAAUGAUCUCCCAUGGUCUUUUCACUCCACUG